GAUAAACGCUGGCGGCGUGCUUUAUGCAUGCAAGUCGAACGGUCUUACUUCGGUAAGAUAGUGGCGAACGGGUGAGUAACGCGUAAGUAACCUGCCUCUAAGUGGAGGAUAACCCCGGGAAACCGGGGCCAAUACUGCAGUGGUGAUGAAGCUCAAGCUCUAUCACUAAAGCCUUCGGGUGCUUGGAGAGGGGCUUGCGUCCGAUUAGCUAGUUGGUAGGGUAAAGGCCUACCAAGGCGAUGAUCGGUAGCUGGCUUGAGAGGGCGGUCAGCCACAUUGGGACUGAGACACGGCCCAGACUCCUACGGGAGGCAGCAGCAAGGAAUUUUGUGCAAUGGGCGAAAGCCUGACACAGCGACGUCGCGUGGGGGAUGAAGGCCUUCGGGUUGUAAACCCCUUUUCUCAGAGAAGAAAAAUGACGGUACCUGAGGAAUAAGUCUUGGCUAACUACGUGCCAGCAGCCGCGGUAAUACGUAGAAGGCGAGCGUUAUCCGGAUUUACAGGGCGUAAAGAGGGCGUAGGUGGUUUUUCAAGUCGGAUGUAAAAUCUCCCGGCUUAACUGGGAGGGACCAUUCGAUACUGUUAAACUAGAGGGCAGCAGAGGGAGGUGGAAUUCCCGGUGUAGUGGUGAAAUGCGUAGAUAUCGGGAGGAACACCAGUGGCGAAGGCGGCCUCCUGGGCUGUUGCUGACACUGAGGCCCAAAAGCGUGGGGAGCGAACAGGAUUAGAUACCCUGGUAGUCCACGCCGUAAACGAUGGACACUAGGUAUGGGGAGUAUCGACCCUCUCCGUGCCGAAGCUAACGCUUUAAGUGUCCCGCCUGGGGACACGGCCGCAAGGCU
Molecule: ribosomal RNA, 842 nt
Filed under: uncultured Chloroflexota bacterium
Lineage: Bacteria; Bacillati; Chloroflexota
Description: bacterial SSU rRNA
Rfam family: Bacterial small subunit ribosomal RNA
Source: RNAcentral